GAUGAACGCUGGCGGCGUGCCUAAUACAUGCAAGUCGAGCGAACGGACGAGAAGCUUGCUUCUCUGAUGUUAGCGGCGGACGGGUGAGUAACACGUGGAUAACCUACCUAUAAGACUGGGAUAACUUCGGGAAACCGGAGCUAAUACCGGAUAAUAUUUUGAACCGCAUGGUUCAAAAGUGAAAGACGGUCUUGCUGUCACUUAUAGAUGGAUCCGCGCUGCAUUAGCUAGUUGGUAAGGUAACGGCUUACCAAGGCAACGAUGCAUAGCCGACCUGAGAGGGGGAUCGGCCACACGGGAACUGAGACACGGUCCAGACGACUACGGGAGGCAGCAGUAGGGAAUCUUCCGCAAUGGGCGAAAGCCUGACGGAGCAACGCCGCGUGAGUGAUGAAGGUCUUCGGAUCGUAAAACUCUGUUAUUAGGGAAGAACAUAUGUGUAAGUAACUGUGCACAUCUUGACGGUACCUAAUCAGAAAGCCACGGCUAACUACGUG
RNAcentral lists this ribosomal RNA (497 nucleotides) under uncultured bacterium. RNAcentral describes it as "partial 16S ribosomal RNA". It matches the Rfam family "Bacterial small subunit ribosomal RNA", at positions 28 to 507 of the family's 1533-position model. The record is from RNAcentral.